RNAcentral lists this signal recognition particle RNA (98 nucleotides) under Pleurocapsa minor GSE-CHR-MK 17-07R. RNAcentral describes it as "Pleurocapsa minor GSE-CHR-MK-17-07R (algae metagenome) signal recognition particle sRNA small type". It matches the Rfam family "Bacterial small signal recognition particle RNA". Rfam says of the family: The signal recognition particle (SRP) is a universally conserved ribonucleoprotein involved in the co-translational targeting of proteins to membranes. Archaeal SRP consists of a 7S RNA and homologues of the eukaryotic SRP19 and SRP54 proteins. The record is from RNAcentral. RNAcentral also lists the same sequence under 1 other name. Lineage: Bacteria; Bacillati; Cyanobacteriota; Cyanophyceae; Pleurocapsales; Pleurocapsaceae.
GGCUGGGUCCUACGCGGCGGUAUGUUUGAAUCGUGUCAGGGCCGGAAGGCAGCAGCACUAAGGGCCUCUAUCGGGUGCCGUAGGCAAGCCCAGUCUGA